UUUAGGACGCCAACCGCGCGAAAGUCGUCGUCUGUACUAAACAUUAUUCCGCUGAUGAAGCGAAUCCAUGAAUAGACUGCAGGAGACUCGCGCGAAGGGCUUCCACUUUUGAAAUUCUUAUGAUUAUUUCCAUUCCCCUCCUACUCCAAGGUAUAAACUUGAAUUACAUACUCCUAAAUUGUAGUACAAAACAUGAUCGAUUAUAACCCUAGCGUUUAAUGAGAAUUUAUAACAUUCAAUGUAACUCUAAUUACUUGAGUUGAUGGAAAUGUUUAUCAAAUUACAAUAGUUUUCCAGUUUUGCUAUGUUAGAAUAUGGUGAUUGAAUAAGUUUUUGUGUUUCCAUGCCAUCUUGUUUUAACACGAAACAAACUAAAUUAAUAAUAGAUAAUUUCUAGUGCAUUUAUGCAUUGCAGUAUCACAGUAAGAGGGUGGUUUGAUUAUAUCUAGAAAUUUGUGGAUGAGAAAAUGUUUGGGGAAAUAGUCAAAAACAUCAAAAUAAGAUUGACAUUGGUUAUGUUGCUGUCUUGCUGACAUCUUGAAGAACUCAUACAUGUAGAGGACUUUGCUUAUGAUAAUAUUUUAUGCAGGUAGAUAAUAAGAAUUGCAUUGGUUAUGGUGCUGACAUCUUCAUGAACUGUUUAACACGAUAACCUCUGAUGCAUAUUCUAAGUGUGUAGGCAUCAAAAUGUAUUACCUAUAAUUGCCACAACAUAUAUAUUAUUUGUGUCUACAAAGAAAAGGAUAAGUGUGCACAAUCAUCAGACAAGUAUAGAUUGUCUGCCAUCAAGUUUAUUAAUUAUGUUGGAGUAUUGGACUAUAUACUAAAGAAUAAUAGAAAGGAAAUGAUGGAGUUUUUGCUAACUUAACUGGUAAAGUCUAUUGGACAUCUGCUGAAGCUGUCUGAUUGUAGUGACGAAGUGUUGCGAUUGCAUUCAAUGGUAGGGAUGAGGGCUGUGUUCAAUCUCAUGGCUGACAAUUUGUGCAGAAAUGGUAUCUCUUUUUGACAUCUUAUUCACCUCAUUGUCUAUCCCAGUAGAGAGUAGUGGCAACUUGUUGUCUUCUGUUGGAGCAAUCUAAUAUGGAUGAAAUGACACUCUUUGCUGAACCAAACCACUGAGGUUCACACAAAAAUCUAGGAACAGUAGUGGUUCGGGUUGUAUUGUUUUUUUUUUGUUAUGGCAGUUUUUGUAUUAUAAACCAAAUUGCACCUACCAUGUUUUAAACUUGUUAUCCUGUUCACCUCUAUCUCACAUACAACAGCCACUAAUAUAUCUUACUGAUAUACUUCACCUAGACUGAAUUACUAUUUUCCAUGAUAACAAUAUUAUAUAAUAUUGUGUUAGCAAUUCCCUUUUGAAAAUAUUUAAUAUACAUUCUAUGUUUCUAUACACUGUCAGUGUGAUAAAAUUUACACAAGCGCUAACAAAAUUGCAACAACUCAUUAAAGUAAGGGCAUUUUUGUCCAAACUCCAAACAUAUGUUCAAUGAAUGGCAUGUAAAUUGUCACAAUCCUGCUGUCCACUAGUAUUAAAUUCUCAUAGUCAGUCAGUCAGUCAGUCGGUGUAUAUGAAUGACAAUAGUGAAUCAAUCGAUUUCUCUAUUGUCAGGAUGUAGAUUGUAGGGUUUUCUGCAGAAAAACCAUGAAAUAGGGAUACUAUGGUGAGAUCUGAUGGUCAGCAUGCAUAUCAUCCUCUGUGUCUCAGUGAUUCAUUUAUAAUUUGUAUAUUAAGUAAAAGGGUUUGGCCGAGUUGGUGAAAGGACUUUAUUUCAAAUACCUAUAGCUACAAACACCUAAAGCUUAAAAAGAUGACAACAUAAAUUAAGAUUGAAUUGCUGUAACCAAAAGAUUUAUUGCACUAGUUUCUCUUGAAUCUUGUACAGCUCAAAGUGAAGGAAAAUCCUGAUUGACUUAAAUAUCCAGGAUAGACCAUAGUAGACAGAGGAAAAUAAAUAAGACUCUUCUCAAUGAAGCAAGUCUGUGGAACUUAUGGUGGACUGGUUUGAGGAUUCGGUUCUGAGAUAAGCUGUGUUGCAAGGGACAUCGUCCAGGAUGCCAAAGUAUGGUAGGGACUAUUGAGCUGCAUAUCAGUGAGCAUUUGAUGAAGUUCUGACGUCUCUUCUUUAAGUUGGGCAUUCUCUUGAAGGACCUGAUCAUGGCGCUCAGAAACGUUGUUUAGUUUGUCUAUGAGUUGGUGAUUUUCAUUUCUGAGCCAAACUACCUGUGACCAAAGUUCAUCCAGGUGCUUUUGCUUGCGCAUACGUGAUCGACGUGCAGACUCUCUGUUGGAUAUCAUUCUCCUCUGCUUCCUGUCACUGAUGAGACUUAGUUGUUGCUCAUCUGCUUCAUCAGAAGUUGAGUUACUGCUGAAACAUGUUAGUUGUGGAUUGAAUUCUUGAACUUGAGUAUUUAUCUGAGGACGAUAUAAUGGGUUGGAGAGUCUGCUAAACUCAAAUGUGUGUGUAUUGUUCUGGGUGAAACCAAAAUGAGCAGGGUAUGAAGUUGGAUUAGGUGGAGCUAGAUAAUGAAGUUCAGUGACCUCACUAGACUGCAUGGUUGCGGGGAAUAGAUUUUUUGAGGGAAGGUAUAGUAGAAGAAGUUAGAUUGGAAGGCGGAGGAAAACUUGAGUUGAGGAGGUGUUUUAUAGGAUGGAAAUGGUAAAGCGGUCCCACUUUAUCAAUUCAGAUUAACAGUGGGGCUUUUUAAAGAUCAGACCAUUGCAAUAUGAUGUCAGUCGGCAUGUACUUAUGCAGCAUAGCAUAUAUGUACACAGGUAAACAUAACACAUAAGUUUAGAUAUAGGUGUUCUUUUGUCCUUUAUGGUCAUGUAAUGGUUAGAUGCCACAUGCUUGCAAUGAGACAUUAUCAAUGGCACUUGUGCUUACUUGAGAAAAAUAAGUUUUAUGGUAGAUAAAUUAUGGGAAUAAACAAUGCUGCAGAUAAGAGAGGCAGAGAGAGAGAUUAUCAGUAUCAUUCGUUCAUACAUGGUGAAAAUGAGUUGUACUGGAUUAAUUUUCAGAUCAAAUAGUGGCUGCAUGAGAGAGAGAUAGGGAGUUCAUAUUGGGAAGUAUAGUUCUUUAAAUGAGAGAAUACUUUUUGGAAGAGAAAAGAAAAUAAAAGGAAAUGAGGUUGGAGAAAUUAAUCUUAAAAGCGAUGUUUGCAGAGCCAAGCCAAUUAAGAUUGUUUUACUGUUAGAUGUUAUUUUCAACAACGCAUGGUGACGUAAAGGCAUAGGAGGAAGGAGGUUGGAGAAGGCAAGUCUUUUCUAUAAGUGGAAAAGAUUGUAUAAGAAAUUGACGACUUCAUAAUUACUUUGAUGAGACCCCAACCAAAUAAGUUAUAGUAUACUUGAUCUCUCUUUAUAAUAUUAUGAUUAAUAGAAAUCACAUCUCUUACACUGUUAGGCACACCAUAUUGCAACAUCAUGGUAGGGAGGGGUUUCUUAGUCAUCGUUGCAUUAAAAUAUGCAUAACAUGCUAAUGGCUAGAUUUCCACACCCUUCUCUGGAAAAAUGACAGUAGCAUUUUCCACUGAUUGGCAAGUGGUAAAGUUGGAGUAAAGUUUUGAUGAGAUAUUUUACCAAGAUACAGUGUCACUUUAUUAGGAUGUGCUUGAAUUCAAUGAAACAGACUUCUUUCUUCUGAUGUGGUGUUGAGAAGGCAAAGAAUAAAUGCCGCAAACUAUAGGGAAAUCUGAAACUGCAUCCGUUCUUUAGGUCGUAAAAAAACUGUGUCACAUAUGAAACAGAACAGACCUGUUUAGUGAUUCUCAGAAGAAUGCAUGAUCACUAACUGCAUUGUUGAAUUAGAUAAUGAAAUUGUAGAGAAAUUAGUUAGUCAAUUUCUGGUUGGGUGGCCAAUUGUGAUCUAAAGAUGUUUGAUGUUUCUCACAAUUCACAAAUAGACUAUUAGUUUCACAUGGAAAUUUAUCUCUAGGAUAUAAUAUAAAACUGUUUUCUUCUUUUGUAAGACAAUUGCUAAGAAGAUGAGCAAGUAAAGAGCUUUAAAAGAAAGGAAAAAGUUGAAGAAUAUACUUUAUAAGAAAGAAUAGGGUCUAAAUUUUUAGUGCUUUGUUUAAAGCAAGAAAUCUUUUACAUUAUGGAAUGGGAUAUUUGUUGCAAUAAUUUCUUAAUCCUGAAGGUUGAGAUAAUCUAGUAGUGUUGAAACUCAUUUAUUUUUCCAUGUCUCAAUAGUUGUUCUUUGAGUUAAGCCACGUAUGUGUUAGUAAAGCUUUAUGGAGAGCUAGAUCAGAUAAGUCUGUUUAGUUUGAUCGUAUGGAUUAGGUUUUGUUCUGACCACAAAACUAACUACUGUUCAGGAAUUGGGAAAAAAAACUUGUUAAUAUGAUGGUGGGGAUUAGGAGGGAGGAGAUAUGGAUGUACUUUGAAAUGCAGUCUCCCACUAAUGAAAAGAACUUUAUAAUGCAGCCAGAAGCAGGACUCUAUGGAGGCAAAUGUUCUCUCCCUUCUUCUUGUUGGGCCAAGUUGAGUGGACUGGAUGGUCAACAAUACCAUUAGACAGAUUUGGCUCCUCUUUCUUUUCUUGUCUUUAAGUUGUUCUUUCUGUGUUCUCAUUAUAUUUUUUUGUUUUUGUGUUUUUUUUAAACGUUUUUCGAUAAAGAAGUCUGCAAAUAAAGUAUUAGAGUUUAGAGGUGCGGCUAAUGUAGUUGUAUACAUAGAUUGUUAUGUCCUUUUGUCUUGUGUACCUGUAUAGAUACAUUACUUUUAGAUCCUAUUGUUGAUCCUUUUCUUAUUAUUUCUGGCAACAAGUUGAGAUCACUAUGUUACCCAAAUAUUUAUAUGUAGCUGAAAGUUAACCGUUGAUGACACUAGCUAAUUGAUUGUGCAUUAUGGGAAUUCUUAUUUUUACCAGAGAUAUUUGAUAUUUUCAUAAAACAUCUCUUACAUCAUUGUGGGAUCCACUUACUAUACAUGUGUGGGGGAGAACUUUGUGAAAAUAUUAUUUCCGUUCUUAAAUCACUGAAUUUUAUCAUUGAUUUUGUCAAAGUUUCCAAACACAAUUAAACCUUUUCUUUAUGUUGUUUGGGUCGAAAUCUUAUGAAGUAAUUGGCUAACUCAGUUCUUUAUUAUUCAGUUGAUAUGUCAAACAUGGGGAUUCAGCAAACAUAAUGUUAAGCUUUCCACAUGCCACUGCGGCAUGGAUCACUUUCAACUCGGUGCGACUUGUGGUUGAGUGAAGGGAUCUAAUCUUAUCCUCUGAACCUAAAGUUCCAGGUCUGAUUAAUAAGAUAUUUCCACCGCCCCCUCUCUCUUUUGUUUUCAGUUUGAAAGGACUUAAUAUUCCAUGUUCAUCGAGAAGUAUAUAUGGGACGCGACCAUUUUCAUUUUUUUUGGUGUUAGGCAAAGCUCGGCUUUUUAAAGACGAUUAGAUUACGCUAUGAUAAUAAAAUAACAUUAUGGAUCUACAUUUUUUUACAAGGAUAAUCUAUAUACUAUUAUCUCCGUCUCAGAUAAAAGUUGUAGUUGACUUUUUGCGAGGGGAAUAAAAUGAUAAAAUUAGCCAUA
This 5524-nucleotide long non-coding RNA is filed under the name Panax ginseng (ginseng). RNAcentral describes it as "long non-coding RNA (PGIN_LNC008538)". The record is from RNAcentral. Lineage: Eukaryota; Viridiplantae; Streptophyta; Magnoliopsida; Apiales; Araliaceae.